This 361-nucleotide ribosomal RNA is filed under the name uncultured Anoxybacillus sp. RNAcentral describes it as "bacterial SSU rRNA". It matches the Rfam family "Bacterial small subunit ribosomal RNA", at positions 1019 to 1382 of the family's 1533-position model. The record is from RNAcentral. Lineage: Bacteria; Bacillati; Bacillota; Bacilli; Caryophanales; Anoxybacillaceae.
GGGGGGACGAGGGUGACGAGUGGUGUCAUGGUUGUCGUCAGCUCGUGUCGUGAGAUGUUGGGUUAAGUCCCGCAACGAGCGCAACCCUCGACCUUAGUUGCCAGCAUUCAGUUGGGCACUCUAAGGUGACUGCCGGCUAAAAGUCGGAGGAAGGUGGGAUGACGUCAAAUCAUCAUGCCCUUAUGACCUGGGCUACACACGUGCUACAAUGGGCGGUACAAAGGGUCGCGAACCCGCGAGGGGGAGCCAAUCCCAAAAAGCCGCUCUCAGUUCGGAUUGCAGGCUGCAACUCGCCUGCAUGAAGCCGGAAUCGCUAGUAAUCGCGGAUCAGCAUGCCGCGGUGAAUACGUUCCCGGGCCUU